RNAcentral lists this ribosomal RNA (497 nucleotides) under uncultured bacterium. Its description in RNAcentral is "partial 16S ribosomal RNA". It matches the Rfam family "Bacterial small subunit ribosomal RNA", at positions 28 to 507 of the family's 1533-position model. The record is from RNAcentral.
GAUGAACGCUGGCGGCGUGCCUAAUACAUGCAAGUCGAGCGAACAGAUGAGGAGCUUGCUCCUCUGACGUUAGCGGCGGGCGGGUGAGUAACACGUGGAUAACCUACCUAUAAGACUGGGAUAACUUCGGGAAACCGGAGCUAAUACCGGAUAAUAUAUUGAACCGCAUGGUUCAAUAGUGAAAGACGGUUUUGCUGUCACUUAUAGAUGGAUCCGCGCCGCAUUAGCUAGUUGUUAAGGUAACGGCUUACCAAGGCAACGAUGCGUAGCCGACCUGAGAGGGUGAUCGGCCACAUUGGACCUGGAACACGGUCAAGACUCCUACGGGAGGCAGCAGUAGGGAAUCUUCCGCAAUGGGCGAAGGCCUGACGGAGCAAGGCCGCGUGAGUGAUGAAGGUCUUCGGAUCGUAAAACUCUGUUAUUAGGGAAGAACAAAUGUGUAAGUAACUAUGCACGUCUUGACGGUACCUAAUCAGAAAGCCACGGCUAACUACGUG